AUGAAAAAGCAGAAGAGCAUUAUUCUUAAAAUGGACGAACCAUUACCAAACUCAAACCCCUUUGACCUUUUAACUGAAGAGAUAAUCUUCGUUAUCCUUGACUCUCUAAACGACGACGCAUUUGCCAAGAAGUCGUUUUCCUUAGUCUGCAAGUCGUUUUACUUCAUCGAGUCUCGCCACCGCAAGACUCUCAGGCCUUUGAGCUCCGACCUCGUACUAAGAACACUGAAACGGUACCGUUUCGUGUCUGAGCUCGACCUCUCUCUCUGUCCUCGAGUUGACGACGCCGCGUUGACUCAGAUAGCCUCGUCGAGAAGCUCUCUCCGCUCGAUCAACCUGUCGAGGUCGAGUCUGUUCACGCACAACGGGCUGUCGAGUUUGGUGGCGAACUGUGCUGGGUUGGUGGAGAUCGAUUUGUCGAACCGGGCGGAGCUGACGGACACGGCGGCGGCGGCGAUUGCGGAGGCGAAGAAUCUCGAGAGGCUGAGUUUGGCGAGGUGUAAGAUGAUCACCGACAUGGGGAUUGGUUGUGUGGCGGUUGGGUGUAAAAAGUUGAGGUUCAUUAGCUUGAAAUGGUGCCUUCGUGUCGGUGAUUUGGGUGUCGGAUUGAUCGCUAUGAAAUGCAAGCAGAUUCGGGCUAUGGAUCUCUCUUACGUACCGAUCACUGAGAAAUGUCUUCCACCAAUCCUGGAACUGGAGCAUCUAGAAGAUUUGGUUCUUGAGGGAUGCCCAGGUAUUGAUGAUGAUGGCCUUGCAACCCUUAAACACAGUUCCAAGUCGCUAAAGACACUUAAUAUGUCAAAUUGUCAGAAUGUCAGUCAUGUGGGUUUGUCUUCUCUGACAUAUGGUGCUGAGUACCUGCAACAUCUUUUUCUAUCAUACAGUCUUUCUGUGACUGCUGAUCUAGCAAAAUGUCUGCAUAAUAUUUCCGGGUUGCAGUCUAUUAAAUUAGAUGGUUGUUCAGUUACAACUUCUGGGAUAAAAGCCAUUGGAAAUUGGCUUGCGUCACUUAAGGAGCUGAGCUUAAGUAAAUGCUUGGGAGUGACUGAUGAAUGCCUAUCCUUCCUUGUGCAAACACACAAAGAACUGAGGAAGUUAGACAUAACAUGCUGUCGCAAGAUAACAUAUGCCUCUAUAGAUAGCAUAACAAAUUCAUGCACCUCCCUCACUUCUCUAAGGAUGGAGUCCUGUAGUUUGGUUUCAAAGGAUGCUUUUGUGCUGAUUGGACAGCGUUGCCGAUUCUUGGAGGAAUUGGAUGUCACAGAUAAUGAAAUUGACAAUGAAGGUUUGAAGUCCAUCUCAAGAUGUUCCAAACUUCUCACCUUAAAGCUUGGAAUUUGCUCGAACAUAACCGAUGAUGGGCUUACCCAUGUUGCAAAUGGUUGUUCCAAGCUCAAAGAGCUAGAUUUGUACAGAUCCUCUGGAAUAACUGACGAGGGCAUAACAGCAAUUGCUCAUGGCUGUCCUGCACUGGAGAUGAUUAACAUUGCUUACAACGAUAAAAUUACAGAUACUUCAUUAAUAUCCUUGUCAAAAUGCAUGCUGUUAAAAGCACUUGAGAUUCGAGGAUGUCAUUCUGUGUUGUCAGUGGGUCUAUCAGCCAUUGUUAGGGAAUGUAGGCAACUUAUGGUGCUGGACAUAAAGAAGUGCACCAACAUUAAUGAUAAUGGAAUGAUUCCAGUUGCUCAAUUUUCCAAAAACCUUAAACAGAUAAACUUGUCAUAUUGUUCAGUUACAGAUGUUGGGCUCUUAGCUCUCUCCAGCAUAAAGCGACUGCAGUGCAUGACUAUCUUGCACUUGUCAGGGUUGACUCCUAAUGGUCUGGCUGCUGCCCUGUUAGCCUGUCGAGGACUAACAAAAGUGAAGCUCCACGCAUCCUUUAAACCAUUACUUCCUCAAUCUCUCUUUGAAUAUAUGGAAGCCCGAGGCUGUGUGCUUCGCUGGAGGGACAAAGCAUUCCAGGUGGAAAUAGAUCCAAAAGGAUGGGAGAUUGCAUUAUGGAAGAAGUCAUGAAGCUGCAUAAUUUGGGAAAGAAAGAUAAGACUUCUUUACUGGUGUGUGCACCUGCGCGAAUUGCUUGCGGUGUGAACUCUAGACUGUUUAAUGUAAUGUAAUGGAUGCUGCACAGAUGCACUGCUGAAAUUUUCCAGUCACGUUUGAAUCAACCAAAUUUGACCUUUCUGUUGUCUUUUUUUAUGUUGUCAUUGAAAAGUUGUCGGUUGAUUUGAAUCAACCAAAUUAAACAGUUGCAACUGGCCCUAGUUCCCAAUGGUCUAGUGAUGGCAAAAUGUCCCCACCAUGUCCUAAUCUGAUCAGCAGCAUUCCACCUUGUGUGGGUUUUCUGUCUCAAAGAGAGGGCGGAAUAAUGACGGGUUAUGCUUAUCUCACUCUGCUUGACUUCAUAUACACAGUAUCCGUUUGGAUACACGUUUUUCAUC
Molecule: RNA transcript, 2438 nt
Organism: Quercus lobata
Lineage: Eukaryota; Viridiplantae; Streptophyta; Magnoliopsida; Fagales; Fagaceae
Gene name: F-box/LRR-repeat protein 3-like
Exons: 8
Source: RefSeq, a predicted model, not a curated record